GAACGCUGGCGGCGUGCCUAAUACAUGCAAGUAGAACGCACAGGAUGCACCGUAGUUUACUACACCGUAUUCUGUGAGUUGCGAACGGGUGAGUAACGCGUAGGUAACCUGCCUGGUAGCGGGGGAUAACUAUUGGAAACGAUAGCUAAUACCGCAUAAGAACAUUUACUGCAUGGUAGAUGUUUAAAAGGUGCAAAAGCAUCACUACCAGAUGGACCUGCGUUGUAUUAGCUAGUUGGUGAGGUAACGGCUCACCAAGGCAACGAUACAUAGCCGACCUGAGAGGGUGAUCGGCCACACUGGGACUGAGACACGGCCCAGACUCCUACGGGAGGCAGCAGUAGGGAAUCUUCGGCAAUGGGGGGAACCCUGACCGAGCAACGCCGCGUGAGUGAAGAAGGUUUUCGGAUCGUAAAGCUCUGUUGUUAAGGAAGAACGUGUGUGAGAGUGGAAAGU
This 456-nucleotide ribosomal RNA is filed under the name Streptococcus constellatus. RNAcentral's name for it is "bacterial SSU rRNA". It matches the Rfam family "Bacterial small subunit ribosomal RNA", at positions 31 to 463 of the family's 1533-position model. The record is from RNAcentral. Lineage: Bacteria; Bacillati; Bacillota; Bacilli; Lactobacillales; Streptococcaceae.